AGUGAACGCUGGCGGUAGGCCUAACACAUGCAAGUCGAACGGCAGCACAGUAAGAGCUUGCUCUUACGGGUGGCGAGUGGCGGACGGGUGAGGAAUACAUCGGAAUCUACUUUUUCGUGGGGGAUAACGUAGGGAAACUUACGCUAAUACCGCAUACGACCUACGGGUGAAAGCAGGGGAUCUUCGGACCUUGCGCGAUUGAAUGAGCCGAUGUCGGAUUAGCUAGUUGGCGGGGUAAAGGCCCACCAAGGCGACGAUCCGUAGCUGGUCUGAGAGGAUGAUCAGCCACACUGGAACUGAGACACGGUCCAGACUCCUACGGGAGGCAGCAGUAGGGAAUAUUGGGCAAUGGGCGCAAGCCUGAUCCAGCCAUACCGCGUGGGUGAAGAAGGCCUUCGGGUUGUAAAGCCCUUUUGUUGGGAAAGAACAGCAGCAGGUUAAUACCCCGCUGUUCUGACGGUACCCAAAGAAUAAGCACCGGCUAACUUCGUG
RNAcentral lists this ribosomal RNA (492 nucleotides) under uncultured bacterium. RNAcentral describes it as "partial 16S ribosomal RNA". It matches the Rfam family "Bacterial small subunit ribosomal RNA", at positions 29 to 507 of the family's 1533-position model. The record is from RNAcentral.